CAACUACUCCCUCCGUUCCAAAUUAUUCGUCGCGGAAAUGAAUGUAUCUAGAACUAAAAUACAUUUAGAUACAUCCAUUUCUGCGGCGAGUAAUUCGGAACGGAAGGAGUAUCUC
This is a non-coding RNA of Triticum aestivum (bread wheat), 115 nucleotides long. Lineage: Eukaryota; Viridiplantae; Streptophyta; Magnoliopsida; Poales; Poaceae. The record is from Rfam.